UACGGGGGGGGCAAGCGUUGUUCGGAAUUACUGGGCGUAAAGGGGUCGUAGGUGGCCUGCUAAGUCAAACGUGAAAUCCCUCAGCUUAACUGGGGAACUGCGUCUGAGACUGGUGGGCUUGAGUGCAGGAGAGGAACGCGGAAUUCCAGGUGUAGCGGUGAAAUGCGUAGAUAUCUGGAGGAACACCGGUGGCGAAGGCGGCGUUCUGGACUGCUACUGACACUGAGGAACGAAAGCCAGGGGAGCAAACGGG
This 253-nucleotide ribosomal RNA is filed under the name uncultured bacterium. RNAcentral's name for it is "partial 16S ribosomal RNA". It matches the Rfam family "Bacterial small subunit ribosomal RNA", at positions 524 to 776 of the family's 1533-position model. The record is from RNAcentral.